GACAGAGGGUGCAAACGUUGUUCGGAAUUACUGGGCGUAAAGCGCGUGUAGGCGGCCAUCUAAGUCGGGCGUGAAAUCCCACGGCUCAACCGUGGAAGUGCACUCGAAACUGGAUGGCUAGAGUCCUGGAGAGGAAGGUGGAAUGCUUGGUGUAGAGGUGAAAUUCGUAGAUAUCAAGCGGAACACCGGUGGCGAAGGCGGCCUUCUGGACAGUGACUGACGCUGAGACGCGAAAGCGUGGAGAGCAAACAGG
RNAcentral lists this ribosomal RNA (253 nucleotides) under uncultured bacterium. RNAcentral's name for it is "partial 16S ribosomal RNA". It matches the Rfam family "Bacterial small subunit ribosomal RNA", at positions 524 to 776 of the family's 1533-position model. The record is from RNAcentral.